GCCCAGUAACUAGAAUAUGCAUAUCAUUAUUGGCUUUGGAUAGAAAACACCCUAAAGUUUCUAAAACAGUUUGAAUGGUGUCUGUGAGGUAGGGGGCAGUAUAUGCACGGCCGGAUAAAAAACGUACCCGAUUUAAUCUGGUUACUACUCCUGCCCAGUAACUAGAAUAUGCAUAUCAUUAUUGGCUUUGGAUAGAAAACACCCUAAAGUUUCUAAAACAGUUUGAAUGGUGUCUGUGAGUAUAUAUAUAGUAUGUAAAUACUGCCCCCUAGCCCUAACAGGUUAAAAUGGUGUAAAAUAGUCAUAUGUUUGAGAAAUUGAAGUAAUAGCAUUUCUAAGGUAUUUGAAUAUCGCGCCACGGGAUUCCACUGGCUGUUGAGUAGGUGGGACGAUUUCGUCCCAAAUACCCUAGAGAGGUUUUUAAAUAACUAUUUUGUUGUUGCAAUUUGCACGGUUAUGACAGUGACCGCAGUCAUUUAGCUGACCAAUUACCAUCAUCCAAAAUGUUAUGACCGUCACAGCCCUGCUCUUCUCUCUCUCUCUCUAACCCCUCCACACCAGAUUGCCCAUGUCUGUUUUCAAUCUUGGCCGUCUUCCUAAUUUCUCCUUUCCCAGGAUAUGAGCGGAUGGCCUGAAGAUUCAUACCGCCAGCCAGCAGCUGACUAAGGACUUUUUUUUGUUAGCGAGAGAGUGCCCCAUGAGAGAGAACGGGGGGGGGGACAGAGAGGGAGAGAUGAGGGGGCAGGGGGUAAAUUGGACCGUGCACAAACUCUCCUUUAAUUGUGUGAGUCAAUGUGAAGGCCCAGCAGCACUAAUUAGAGGGAUGUAGAGGGCCCAGUAGUUAUUAGAUAGGAGGGCAGUUACAACACAACCCAGGGAGUUAAGAAGGAACAACAACACAGUCUUCAGAACAGGACCGGCUCAGAGCAGAGUGGGACCCACCUCACAGUCUAAUACCACUGCAACAGUAAACUAGUGUAAUACUUUAGACAAGAUAUUGUCUCGUUCUCUACAGCCAGAAGUGAGUACAUCGUGCAGUAUAAACUUUGCACAGAUCACGGCACAACUGACACUACCAAAUCAUCAAUGAUGAUAUUGCCCAUUGCUACUGCAACUCCUACAUCUACUGUGACACUAAAGACAACAUCUACUGUAACACUAAAGACACAUCUACUGUAACACUAGAAACACAUACUGUAACACUAAAGACAACAUCUACUACAACACUAAAGACGGAUCCACUGUAACACUAAAUACACAUCUACUGUAACACUAAAGACAACAUCUACUACAACACUAAAGACACAUCUACUGUAACACUAGAGACACAUACUGUAACACUAAAGACAACAUCUACUACAACACUAAAGACAACAUCUACUGUAACACUAAAUACACAUCUACUGUGACACUAAAGACAACAUCUACUGUAACACUAAAGACACAUCUACUGUAACACUAGAAACACAUACUGUAACACUAAAGACAACAUCUACUACAACACUAAAGAUGGAUCCACUGUAACACUAAAUACACAUCUACUGUAACACUAAAGACAACAUCUACUACAACACUAAAGACACAUCUACUGUAACACUAGAGACACAUACUGUAACACUAAAGACAACAUCUACUACAACACUAAAGACACAUCUACUGUAACACUAAAUUCACAUCUACUGUAACACUAAAGACAACAUAUACUGUAACACUAGAGACACAUACUGUAACACUAAAGACAACAUCUACUACAACACUAAAGACGGAUCCACUGUAACACUAAAUACACAUCUACUGUAACACUAAAGACAACAUCUACUACAACACUAAAGACACAUCUACUGUAACACUAAAUACACAUCUACUGUAACACUAAAGACAACAUCUACUACAACACUAAAGACACAUCUACUGUAACACUAAAGACACAUAUACUGUAACACUAAAGACAACAUCUACUACAACACCAAAGGCACAUAUACUGUAACACUAAAGAUACAUCUACUACAACACCAAAGACACAUCUACUGUAACACUAAAGACACAUCUACUACAACACUAAAUACACAUCUAUUGUACCACUAAAGACAACAUCUACAGUAACACUAAAGAUACAUCUACUGUAACACUAAAUACAACAUCUACUGUAACACUAAAGACACAUCUACUGUAACAAAAAAUACACAUCUACUUUAACACAAAAUACAACAUCUACUGUAACACUGAAGACACAUGUACUGUAACACUAAAGACACAUCUACUGUAACACUAAAUACACAUCUACUGUAACACUAAAGACAACAUCUACUACAACACUAAAGACACAUCUACUGUAACACUAAAGACACAUAUACUGUAACACUAAAGAUACAUCUACUACAACACCAAAGACACAUCUACUGUAACACUAAAGACACAUCUACUACAACACUAAAUACACAUCUAUUGUACCACUAAAGACAACAUCUACAGUAACACUAAAGAUACAUCUACUGUAACACUAAAUACAACAUCUACUGUAACACUAAAGACACAUCUACUGUAACAAAAAAUACACAUCUACUUUAACACAAAAUACAACAUCUACUGUAACACUGAAGACACAUGUACUGUAACACUAAAGACACAUCUACUGUAACACUAAAUACACAUCUACUGUAACACUAAAGACAACAUCUACUACAACACUAAAGACACAUCUACUGUAACACUAAAGACACAUAUACUGUAACACUAAAGAAAACAUCUACUACAACACCAAAGACACAUCUACUGUAACACUAAAGAUAAAUCUACUACAACACCAAAGACACAUCUAUUGUAACACUAAAUACACAUCUACUGUAACACUAAAGACAACAUCUACUACAACACCAAAGGCACAUAUACUGUAACACUAAAGAUACAUCUACUACAACACCAAAGACACAUCUACUGUAACACUAAAGACACAUCUACUACAACACUAAAUACACAUCUAUUGUACCACUAAAGACAACAUCUACAGUAACACUAAAGAUACAUCUACUGUAACACUAAAUACAACAUCUACUGUAACACUAAAGACACAUCUAGUGUAACAAAAAAUACACAUCUACUUUAACACAAAAUACAACAUCUACUGUAACACUGAAGAUACAUGUACUGUAACACUAAAGACACAUCUACUGUAACACUAGAGACACAUACUGUAACACUAAAGACACAUCUACUGUAACACUAAAGGCACAUCUACUGUAACAAUAAAGACACAUCUAAUGUAACACUAAAGACAACAUAUACUGUAACACUAAAGACAACAUAUACUACAACAUAUACUGUAACAAUAAAGACACAUCUACUAUAACACUAAAGACACAUCUACUAUAAUACUAAAUACACAUCUACUGAAACACCAGUAGUAGUAGUAGCACUGGGAGCCACCGACACAGAGAAUAGUGAGACGCUGGACAGAGGAGGCAGACUCACUGCUGCAGGAUUGUUUUGAGAAUACUGAUUGGAUUAUUUGUUCAAAGAAUUAUCCAACCAGGACUCAUCCAUCAACAUUGAGGAAUAUACAUUGUCAGUCACAGGCUUCUUUAGGAAAUGUAUUGAUGAAUUUGUACCCACAAUAACAAUCCCGACAUAUCCCAAACAAAAACCCUG
Molecule: long non-coding RNA, 3645 nt
Filed under: Salmo salar (Atlantic salmon)
Lineage: Eukaryota; Metazoa; Chordata; Actinopteri; Salmoniformes; Salmonidae
Description: lncRNA (ENSSSAG00000086494.1)
Source: RNAcentral